AUCGAAUUUGAAUAUCUGGCGCCUUCGGUGUCCGAGUUGUAAUUUGAAGAUUGGUAGAGCCUUGGGGUUGGCUCUUGUCUAUGUUUCUUGGAACAGGACGUCACAGAGGGUGAGAAUCCCGUGCGAUGAGAUGCCCAAUCCUAUGUAAGGUGCUUUCGAAGAGUCGAGUUGUUUGGGAAUGCAGCUCUAAGUGGGUGGUAAAUUCCAUCUAAAGCUAAAUAUUGGCGAGUAGACCGAUAGCGAACAAGUACAGUGAUGGAAAGAUGAAGAAGAACUUUGAAAUGAGAGUGAAAAAGUACGUGAAAUUGUUGAAAGGGAAGGGUUUGAGAUCAGACUCGAUAUUUUGUGAGCCUUGCCUUCGUGGCGGGGUGACCCGGCAGCUUAUCGGGCCAGCAUCGGAUUUGGGCGGUAGGAUAAUGGCGUAGGAAUGUGACUUUACUUCGGUGAAGUGUUAUACGCCUGCGUUGAUGCUGCCUGCCUAGACCGAGGACUGCGAUUUUAUCAAGGAUGCUGGCAUAAUGAUCCCAAACCGCC
This 534-nucleotide ribosomal RNA is filed under the name Meyerozyma carpophila. RNAcentral describes it as "eukaryotic LSU rRNA". It matches the Rfam family "Eukaryotic large subunit ribosomal RNA", at positions 108 to 649 of the family's 3401-position model. Lineage: Eukaryota; Fungi; Ascomycota; Pichiomycetes; Serinales; Debaryomycetaceae. The record is from RNAcentral.